UCCCGUUGAUCCUGCGGGAGGCUGCUGCUAUUGGAGUUCGAUUUAGCCAUGCAAGUCACGGGGACGCAAGUCACCGGCGUAUAGCUCAGUAACACGUCGUUAACCUGCCCCAGAGUCAGGGAUAGCCUUGGGAAACUGAGGGUAAAACCUGAUAUGGAAAAACUUCUGGAAAGGAUGUUUUCCUUAAAAGCAAUGCUCUGGGAUGGGACGGCGGUCGAUUAGGCUGUUGGCGGGGUAACGGCCCACCAAACCUAUGAUCGGUACGGGCCCUGAAAGGGGUAGCUCGGAGAGGGACACUGAAAUACUGGUCCCAGCCCUAAGGGGUGCAGCAGGCGCGAAACCUUUACACUGCACGAAAGUGCGAUAAGGGAACUCCAAGUGCCAAUGUUUAACAUUGGCUUUUGCCAAAGGCAAAUACUUUGGCGAAUAAGUGGUGGGAAAGACUGGUGCCAGCCGCCGCGGUAACACCAGCGCCACGAGUGGGAGCCGCGAUUAUUGGGCCUAAAGCGUCCGUAGCCGGUCUGUCACAUCUUUUGUGAAAUGGUUGUGCUCAACACAUCCACGUGCAGAAGACACGAACAGACUUGGGACUGGGAGGAGUCAGAGGAAUUCCUUGGGGAGCGGUAAAAUGCGAUAAUCCUCGGAAGACCACCUGUGGCGAAGGCGUCUGACUAGAACAGAUCCGACGGUGAGGGACGAAAGCCAGGGGAGCGAACCGGAUUAGAUACCCGAGUAGUCCUGGCCGUAAACGUUGCGAGCAAGGUGUUGCGCAUUCUCCGAGAUUGCGCAGUGUCGAAAUGAAGAUGUUAAGCUCGCCGCCUGGGAAGUAUGGUCGCAAGGCUGAAACUUAAAGGAAUUGGCGGGGGAGCACCACAAGGGGUGCGGCGUGCGGUUUAAUCUAACUUAACGCAGAGAAUCUCACCAGGAACGACGGCAGGAUGAAAGUCAGCCUAAAGGGCUUACUUGACGAGCCGAGAGGUAGUGCAUGGCCGUCGUCAGCUCGUGCCGUGAGGUGUCCUCUUAAGUGAGGCAACGAGCGAGACCUAUACCUACAGUUGCUACCGAGCUCAGCGAUUGGGCACACUGUAGGGACUGCCUCGGAAACGAGGAGGAAGGUGUAGGCUACGGUAGGUCUGUAUGCUCCGAAUUCCCUGGGCUACACGCGCGCAACAAUGGUAGGGACAAUGGGACGCAACUCCGAAAGGAGAAGCUAAACCUCUAAACCCUAUCUAAGUCUAGAUCGAGGGCUGUAACUCGCCCUCGUGACACCGGAAUCCCUAGUAAUCGGAGGUCAUCAUCCUCCAGUGAAUAUGUCCCUGCUCCUUGCACACACCGCCCGUCAAACCAACCGAGCAGGGUAUAGAUGAGUCUUGUUUUAAUUGAACAAGCCGAAUCUAAACUCAGUGAGGUGGGUUAAGUCGUCACAAGGUA
Molecule: ribosomal RNA, 1431 nt
Filed under: metagenome
Description: bacterial SSU rRNA
Rfam family: Archaeal small subunit ribosomal RNA
Source: RNAcentral